Molecule: small RNA, 537 nt
Filed under: Olea europaea subsp. europaea
Lineage: Eukaryota; Viridiplantae; Streptophyta; Magnoliopsida; Lamiales; Oleaceae
Source: RNAcentral
UAUAAAAAUAAAGAUGAAGCAAACUUAGAUUUAGACACAAGGAUGAGUCUUUUUUCAACCAAGGGAGCAUGACACGGAUGUCAAAGAAAUAAUUAAGGAAGGAUUGGGGCAAGAUUUUGAAGAAGUUUGAACAACCAAUUCUGGGAUUUUCUUAUCUUCAAGUUUAGUAUUAUUUUUCUUUCUAAGUUUAAAAUAUUACAUUCUAAGUUUAGAGAUUACUAUUGUGUUUAACUUUAUUUCCUAUAAUGACAAGCCCAAUAUAACCUUUAUUCACACCUUUUUUUUUGGUGAUUAAAAAAAUAAGAGACUUGGUUCGUUUUUUCUGAGAAGAGCUAUCUUCUUUGAGUGAUCUUUAUCUCCAGUCUUUUCUUGAAGUGGUAAGCCUUAGUCCUGCUUUGUAUCUUGAGGAAAUUGUUUGUGAGUGGUGAUCACUAACAUCCUGUAAUCAUCGUUGUUUUUUCGCAGAAUCAGUUUUGUUGCUGUGAUUUUUCGGCAUCAGAUUAGCAACAAAAAUGACAUCGUUAUUUUCAUCGCUAA